AGAUUGAACGCUGGCGGCAGGCCUAACACAUGCAAGUCGAGCGCGAAAGUUCCUUCGGGAAUGAGUAGAGCGGCGGACGGGUGAGUAACGCGUAGGAAUUUGCCCAGUAGUGGGGGACAACUCGGGGGAAACUCGAGCUAAUACCGCAUACGCCCCAAGGGGGAAAGCAGGGGAUCUUCGGACCUUGCGCUAUUGGAUAAGCCUGCGUCGGAUUAGCUAGUUGGUGGGUAAGGGCCUACCAAGGCAACGAUCCGUAGCUGGUCUGAGAGGAUGAUCAGCCACACUGGGACUGAGACACGGCCCAGACUCCUACGGGAGGCAGCGAGUGGGAAUAGUUGGACAAUGGGGGCAACCCUGAUCCAGCCAUGCCGCGUGUGUGAAGAGGCCGUUAGGGUGUAAAGCACUUUCGAGUUAGGGAGG
RNAcentral lists this ribosomal RNA (420 nucleotides) under uncultured soil bacterium. Its description in RNAcentral is "bacterial SSU rRNA". It matches the Rfam family "Bacterial small subunit ribosomal RNA", at positions 26 to 447 of the family's 1533-position model. The record is from RNAcentral.